GGACUACUCGGGUUUCUAAUCCUGUUUGCUCCCCACGCUUUCGCACCUCAGCGUCAGUCUCUGUCCAGGUGGUCGCCUUCGCCACCGGUGUUCCUCCCAAUAUCUACGAAUUUCACCUCUACACUGGGAAUUCCACCACCCUCUCCAGGACUCAAGUCUUCCAGUAUCGAAUGCACUUCUACAGUUAGGCUGUAGGAUUUCACACCCGACUUAAAAAACCGCCUACGCGCGCUUUACGCCCAGUAAUUCCGAACAACGCUUGCACCCUCUGUCUUACCGCGGCUGCUGGCAC
This 292-nucleotide ribosomal RNA is filed under the name uncultured bacterium. Its description in RNAcentral is "partial 16S ribosomal RNA". The record is from RNAcentral.